UAGUCCACGCCCUAAACGAUGAGUGCUAGAUGUCGGGUUUUACAUUCGGUGUCGUAGCUAACGCGUUAAGCACUCCGCCUGGGGAGUACGGUCGCAAGAUUAAAACUCAAAGGAAUUGACGGGGACCCGCACAAGCGGUGGAGCAUGUGGUUUAAUUCGAGGCAACGCGAAGAACCUUACCAGUCCUUGACAUCCUAAUCGCGGUUUCCAGAGAUGGAUUCCUUCAGUUCGGCUGGAUUAGUGACAGGUGCUGCAUGGCUGUCGUCAGCUCGUGUCGUGAGAUGUUGGGUUAAGUCCCGCAACGAGCGCAACCCUCACCCUUUGUUACCAGCGGUUCGGCCGGGGACUCUAAGGGAACUGCCCGUGAUAAGCGGGAGGAAGGCGGGGAUGACGUCAAGUCAGCACGGCCCUUAUGGACUGGGCUACACACGUGCUACAAUGGUAUUUACAGUGGGCCGCGACGUCGCGAGGCGAAGCUAAUCCCUAAAAUAUAUCUCAGUCCGGAUUGGAGUCUGCAUUCGA
RNAcentral lists this ribosomal RNA (522 nucleotides) under uncultured bacterium. RNAcentral describes it as "bacterial SSU rRNA". It matches the Rfam family "Bacterial small subunit ribosomal RNA", at positions 791 to 1315 of the family's 1533-position model. The record is from RNAcentral.